GACGAACGCUGGCGGCGUGCCUAAUACAUGCAAGUUGAGCGCUGAAGGUUGGUACUUGUACCGACUGGAUGAGCAGCGAACGGGUGAGUAACGCGUGGGGAAUCUGCCUUUGAGCGGGGGACAACAUUUGGAAACGAAUGCUAAUACCGCAUAAAAACUUUAAACACAAGUUUUAAGUUUGAAAGAUGCAAUUGCAUCACUCAAAGAUGAUCCCGCGUUGUAUUAGCUAGUUGGUGAGGUAAAGGCUCACCAAGGCGAUGAUACAUAGCCGACCUGAGAGGGGGAUCGGCCACAUGGGGACUGAGAAACGGCCCAAACUCCUACGGGAGGCAGCAGUAGGGAAUCUUCGGCAAUGGACGAAAGUCUGACCGAGCAACGCCGCGUGAGUGAAGAAGGUUUUCGGAUCGUAAAACUCUGUUGGUAGAGAAGAACGUUGGUGAGAGUGGAAAGCUCAUCAAGUGACGGUAACUACCCAGAAAGGGACGGCUAACUACGUGCCAGCAGCCGCCGUAA
Molecule: ribosomal RNA, 513 nt
Filed under: uncultured bacterium
Lineage: Bacteria
Description: partial 16S ribosomal RNA
Rfam family: Bacterial small subunit ribosomal RNA
Source: RNAcentral